Molecule: non-coding RNA, 598 nt
Organism: Misgurnus anguillicaudatus (oriental weatherfish)
Lineage: Eukaryota; Metazoa; Chordata; Actinopteri; Cypriniformes; Cobitidae
Source: RefSeq, a predicted model, not a curated record
UUCACGGGAUGAUCGGCUGCAUGUGGAUUUGUUUACCUUUUUGCUGUCAUUCCUCUCGUGUGCACACCCUUGUCUCCUCCUUCCUCGUUAUCCUUAAUUGUUUUCCACGGCUGUCUUGUCUGCUUUUCUCUAUUUAUAUGCUCCUGUGUUUGUUUCCCGUUGCGCGUUCGUUGUAUGUAUUUGAGUGAUCGCUGCCCGGUCCUGUCCAGUUUAUUAUUGUGUAGUUUGUCAGUCUGUCUAACCAUUCACUGUGGUUUCGCUCCCAGGAUUCAGCCCAGUUCCGUGUAAAGCUCAAGUUCACCACCGGUCUCCUGUGUUUGUGGAAUAUCAUCUCUCUCUCUCUCUCUCUCCAUCGACUCCGUUGGUUUCCCUCGCAUUUAGGGAGUACACCAGCGGUUCUCUCUACGGUGUGCCUCGUCUUUAGGCUGGAACCGUAGGAUAUUACUGUGUUUCCCUGGACCCGCUAUCCAUUGGAUUAUACUGUGUUUCCCUGGACCCGCUGUGAACUGUGCUUCCUCCGAUAUCCAUUCAGUGAACUUUUUUGCUGUGCAGUGUGGACUUACUCGUCUGUGAUUUAAUAAAUUUUACUUGCAUCAGA